AGUUUUGAGCUAAAUAUAUUUAUAAUAUUAGUUAUUUAUGAAGGUGUUGUAAAACCUUUAUUUAAAAUUAUAUUUAGGGGUGAUAGGCCUUUCAAAAACUAAGAUAUCUUGAAUCUAAUUAAAAGUAUGUAGUACAACUUACACAACUAUUAAGUGAUUAGGCUUUAUAGAAUUAUUAACCUAUAAGAUUUUAUUUACUAUAAUUUAAUAAUUAAGUACAUAAAUAUAUUAAUAUACAUAUAUUAUUGUUUAUAAAAGAGUAAUUAGAUAGAUUUAAGUUCAUAUUUCUUAUAAUAAUGUUAAUAUUAGUAUUAAGAUUAUAUUUAUAUGAUGAACUCGGCAAAAAUACUUCUCAACUGUUUAUCAAAAACAUAACUAUGUGAAUGAAUACAUAGCGGUUUCUGCUCAA
This 409-nucleotide ribosomal RNA is filed under the name Mandarina polita. RNAcentral's name for it is "partial 16S ribosomal RNA". The record is from RNAcentral. Lineage: Eukaryota; Metazoa; Mollusca; Gastropoda; Stylommatophora; Camaenidae.